CUUGCUUCUCUUGAGAGCGGCGGACGGGUGAGUAAUGCCUAGGAAUCUGCCUGGUAGUGGGGGAUAACGUUCGGAAACGGACGCUAAUACCGCAUACGUCCUACGGGAGAAAGCAGGGGACCUUCGGGCCUUGCGCUAUCAGAUGAGCCUAGGUCGGAUUAGCUAGUUGGUGGGGUAAUGGCUCACCAAGGCGACGAUCCGUAACUGGUCUGAGAGGAUGAUCAGUCACACUGGAACUGAGACACGGUCCAGACUCCUACGGGAGGCAGCAGUGGGGAAUAUUGGACAAUGGGCGAAAGCCUGAUCCAGCCAUGCCGCGUGUGUGAAGAAGGUCUUCGGAUUGUAAAGCACUUUAAGUUGGGAGGAAGGGUUGUAGAUUAAUACUCUGCAAUUUUGACGUUACCGACAGAAUAAGCACCGGCUAACUCUGUGCCAGCAGCCGCGGUAAUACAGAGGGUUGCAAGCGUUAAAUCUGAAUUUACU
Molecule: ribosomal RNA, 483 nt
Filed under: uncultured bacterium
Lineage: Bacteria
Description: bacterial SSU rRNA
Rfam family: Bacterial small subunit ribosomal RNA
Source: RNAcentral